This 253-nucleotide ribosomal RNA is filed under the name uncultured bacterium. RNAcentral's name for it is "partial 16S ribosomal RNA". It matches the Rfam family "Bacterial small subunit ribosomal RNA", at positions 524 to 776 of the family's 1533-position model. The record is from RNAcentral.
UACGAAGGGGGCUAGCGUUGCUCGGAAUCACUGGGCGUAAAGCGCACGUAGGCGGAUUCUUAAGUCGGUGGUGAAAUCCUGGAGCUCAACUCCAGAACUGCCUUCGAUACUGGGAGUCUUGAGUCCGGGAGAGGUGAGUGGAACUGCGAGUGUAGAGGUGAAAUUCGUAGAUAUUCGGAAGAACACCAGUGGCGAAGGCGGCUCACUGGCCCGGUUCUGACGCUGAGGUGCGAAAGCGUGGGGAGCAAACAGG